This 473-nucleotide ribosomal RNA is filed under the name uncultured bacterium. Its description in RNAcentral is "bacterial SSU rRNA". It matches the Rfam family "Bacterial small subunit ribosomal RNA", at positions 26 to 518 of the family's 1533-position model. The record is from RNAcentral.
AGGACGAACGCUGGCGGCGUGCUUCAUACAUGCAAGUCGAACGAUAAGGUCUCUUCGGAGAUACAUAAGUGGCGGACGGGUGAGUAAAAUGUAGAGAAUCUGCCCUAGAGAUGGGGACAACAGUUGGAAACGACUGCUAAUACCCAAUAUGAGCGUAGUUGAAAUACUAUUCUUGAAAACUCCGGUGCUCUGGGAUGAGUCUGCAUCUGAUUAGCUAGUUGGAGGUGUAAUGGACCACCAAGGCGACAAUCAGUAGCUGGUUUGAGAGGAUGAUCAGCCACAAUGGGACUGAGACACGGCCCAUACUCCUACGGGAGGCAGCAGUAGGGAAUUUUGCGCAAUGGGGGAAACCCUGACGCCAGCAACGCCGCGUGAAUGAAGAAGCCCUUCGGGGUGUAAAGUUCUGUCAGUAGGGAAGAAUAAAUGACUGUACCUACAGAGGAAGCAUCGGCUAACUCCGUGCCAGCCGCGGC